GAGGACUUAGCUUAAUAAAAGUAACUAAUUUGCAUUUAGUUGAUGUAGAAUGAGAUUCUGCAGUCUUUA
This 69-nucleotide transfer RNA is filed under the name Tarsius dentatus (Dian's tarsier). Its description in RNAcentral is "tRNA-Ala". The record is from RNAcentral. RNAcentral also lists the same sequence under 2 other names. Lineage: Eukaryota; Metazoa; Chordata; Mammalia; Primates; Tarsiidae.